RNAcentral lists this ribosomal RNA (742 nucleotides) under Gyrinicola japonica. RNAcentral's name for it is "partial large subunit ribosomal RNA". It matches the Rfam family "Eukaryotic large subunit ribosomal RNA", at positions 374 to 920 of the family's 3401-position model. Lineage: Eukaryota; Metazoa; Nematoda; Chromadorea; Rhabditida; Pharyngodonidae. The record is from RNAcentral.
CUUUGAAGAGAGAGUUCAAGAGGGCGUGAAACCGCUGAGAAGGAAACGGAUAGAGUUGACGAAACACAGCGGCAUUCAUCCGACCUGUCCUGGCAACUGGCUGCCCGGUAUAGAUCGUUCUCCUCGGGGAAUGACGGUCUGGCUGUCAGCUUAGUCGGCUGGUUGGUGCUUUUGCCGUUGGUAUGCGCGGAGACGUUCGCUGUGGCGUGUCGACGUCGAUGUCAGAGGACCAGUGCCAAAUGGUACUGGAAACCUGACUCGGCUUAGGUAUGUUCGCGGUGAAACGGUAACCACAUACGCCGCUUGCUAGUUGCGUAGCUGCCUCUGCAUAGUUGGGUGCGUUGUUGGGCGAUCGCGUGCGAUUUGUCUACAGCUGUAUUCCGGCUUGUUUCUGGCUAGUUACGUUGGCGGUGUAUCUCCGUGUAAAAGUCAGCCACCUAUCCGACCCGUCUUGAAACACGGACCAAGGAGUUUAGCAUAUGCGCAAGUCAUUGGGUGGUAAACCUAAAGGCGUAAUGAAAGUAAAGACUGCUUCGAGCGGUUGAUAUGGGAUCUGUGCUUGCUUGCAGGCGCAGCGCACCAUAGCCCCGUUCUUGUUGCUUGCAAUAGGGCGGAGGUAGAGCGUAUACGCUGAGACCCGAAAGAUGGUGAACUAUGCCUGAGCAGGAUGAAGCCAGAGGAAACUCUGGUGGAAGUCCGAAGCGGUUCUGACGUGCAAAUCGAUCGUCUGACUUGGGUAUAG